Molecule: ribosomal RNA, 501 nt
Filed under: uncultured bacterium
Lineage: Bacteria
Description: partial 16S ribosomal RNA
Rfam family: Bacterial small subunit ribosomal RNA
Source: RNAcentral
AUUGAACGCUGGCGGCAGGCUUAACACAUGCAAGUCGAGCGGGGGAAGGUAGCUUGCUACCGGACCUAGCGGCGGACGGGUGAGUAAUGCUUAGGAAUCUGCCUAUUAGUGGGGGACAACAUCUCGAAAGGGAUGCUAAUACCGCAUACGUCCUACGGGAGAAAGCGGGGGAUCUUCGGACCUUGCGCUAAUAGAUGAGCCUAAGUCGGAUUAGCUAGUUGGUGGGGUAAAGGCCUACCAAGGCGACGAUCUGUAGCGGGUCUGAGAGGAUGAUCCGCCACACUGGGACUGAGACACGGCCCAGACUCCGACGGGAGGCAGCAGUGGGGAAUAUUGGACAAUGGGGGGAACCCUGAUCCAGCCAUGCCGCGUGUGUGAAGAAGGCCUUAUGGUUGUAAAGCACUUUAAGCGAGGAGGAGGCUACUCUAGUUAAUACCUAGGGAUAGUGGACGUUGCUCGCAGAAUAAGCACCGGCUAACUCUGUGCCAGCCGCCGCCGUAA